This 179-nucleotide ribosomal RNA is filed under the name uncultured bacterium. RNAcentral's name for it is "partial 16S ribosomal RNA". It matches the Rfam family "Bacterial small subunit ribosomal RNA", at positions 1314 to 1500 of the family's 1533-position model. The record is from RNAcentral.
GACUCCAUGAAGCUGGAUUCGCUAGUAAUCGCGCAUCAGCCACGGCGCGGUGAAUACGUUCCCGGGCCUUGUACACACCGCCCGUCAAGCCAUGGAAGCCGGGAGUGCCUGAAGUGCGUGAGCGCAAGCAGCGCCCUAAGGUAAAACCGGUGACUGGGGCUAAGUCGUAACAAGGUAAC